Molecule: ribosomal RNA, 580 nt
Filed under: uncultured bacterium
Lineage: Bacteria
Description: bacterial SSU rRNA
Rfam family: Bacterial small subunit ribosomal RNA
Source: RNAcentral
CCUACGGGAGGCAGCAGUUGGGAAUCUUGGACAAUGGGGGAAACCCUGAUCCAGCCAUGCCGCGUGAGUGAUGAAGGCCUUCGGGUUGUAAAACUCUUUCGACGGGGACGAUAAUGACGGUACCCGUAGAAGAAGCUCCGGCUAACUUCGUGCCAGCAGCCGCGGUAAUACGAAGGGGGCUAGCGUUGUUCGGAAUUACUGGGCGUAAAGCGCGCGCAGGCGGUCUUCCAAGUCAGUGGUGAAAGCCUGGAGCUCAACUCCAGAACUGCCAUUGAAACUGUUAGACUUGAGUACGAGAGAGGUGAGUGGAAUUCCCAGUGUAGAGGUGAAAUUCGUAGAUAUUGGGAAGAACACCAGUGGCGAAGGCGGCUCACUGGCUCGUAACUGACGCUCAGGCGCGACAGCGUGGGGAUCAAACAGGAUUAGAUACCCUGGUAGUCCACGCCGUAAACGAUGAAUGCUAGCCGUUGGUAGCUUGCUAUUCAGUGGCGCAGCUAACGCAUUAAGCAUUCCGCCUGGGAGUACGGCCGCAGUUGAACUUAAAUGAAUUGACGGNUGAGANGCGAGNGNACGAGGAGAG